GUGAGGGCAUUCUGGCUGCGACAUCUGUCACCCCAUUGAUAGCCAGGGUUGGUCUGGGUGACCUGGCUGGCUAGGUAGGUGUCUGCUUUCCCCCCUCACCAAAAGGGCAUCCCUCCCAAAGCUGCAUGUUUGAAGAGGACGAUCAUCUCCGAUAGAGGACCGGUCUUUGGUCAAGGGUAUGCCUCCAAACUUCCAAACAAGUUCUCAACACAGAGGAUUCAUGUAAAGUACUU
RNAcentral lists this small nuclear RNA (233 nucleotides) under Saimiri boliviensis boliviensis (Bolivian squirrel monkey). RNAcentral's name for it is "7SK RNA (ENSSBOG00000001125.1)". It matches the Rfam family "7SK RNA". From Rfam's summary of the family: 7SK was discovered as an abundant small nuclear RNA in the mid-70s but a possible function has only recently been suggested. Two independent studies have found that 7SK RNA binds the CDK9/cyclin T complex (known as elongation factor P-TEFb). The record is from RNAcentral. Lineage: Eukaryota; Metazoa; Chordata; Mammalia; Primates; Cebidae.